GGCCGGUUAGCUCAGUCGAUUAGAGUGUGGUGCUGAUAACACCAAGGUUACGGGUUCAAUCCCCAUUCAGUCCC
This 74-nucleotide transfer RNA is filed under the name Apaloderma vittatum (bar-tailed trogon). It matches the Rfam family "tRNA". From Rfam's summary of the family: Transfer RNA (tRNA) molecules are approximately 80 nucleotides in length. Their secondary structure includes four short double-helical elements and three loops (D, anti-codon, and T loops). The record is from Rfam by way of RNAcentral. Lineage: Eukaryota; Metazoa; Chordata; Aves; Trogoniformes; Trogonidae.